UAGAUUAAAGUCCGCCGGUUUUGACAGCUAGCUGUUAAUUAGUUUUUGUGGGAUCGAGGCCCACUGAUCUAG
RNAcentral lists this transfer RNA (72 nucleotides) under Lycodon flavozonatus (big-tooth snake). Its description in RNAcentral is "tRNA-Asn". It matches the Rfam family "tRNA". Rfam says of the family: Transfer RNA (tRNA) molecules are approximately 80 nucleotides in length. Their secondary structure includes four short double-helical elements and three loops (D, anti-codon, and T loops). Further hydrogen bonds mediate the characteristic L-shaped molecular structure. tRNAs have two regions of fundamental functional importance: the anti-codon, which is responsible for specific mRNA codon recognition, and the 3' end, to which the tRNAs corresponding amino acid is attached (by aminoacyl-tRNA synthetases). tRNAs cope with the degeneracy of the genetic code in two manners: having more than one tRNA (with a specific anti-codon) for a particular amino acid; and 'wobble' base-pairing, i.e. permitting non-standard base-pairing at the 3rd anti-codon position. The record is from RNAcentral. Lineage: Eukaryota; Metazoa; Chordata; Lepidosauria; Squamata; Colubridae.